UACGGAGGGUGCGAGCGUUGUCCGGAAUCAUUGGGCGUAAAGGGCGCGUAGGUGGCCCGGUCAGCGUGCGGUGAAAGCUCGGGGCUCAACCCCGAGUCGGCCGUGCGAACUGCUGGGCUUGAGCACUGUAGAGGCAGGCGGAAUUCCGGGUGUAGCGGUGGAAUGCGUAGAGAUCCGGAAGAACACCGGUGGCGAAGGCGGCCUGCUGGGCAGUGGCUGACACUGAGACGCGAAAGCGUGGGGAGCGAACAGG
Molecule: ribosomal RNA, 253 nt
Filed under: uncultured bacterium
Lineage: Bacteria
Description: partial 16S ribosomal RNA
Rfam family: Bacterial small subunit ribosomal RNA
Source: RNAcentral